CCCUCCCUCUAAAAGCACUCUGUGUGGGGAAGAUGAGAGCCAGAGCAAAGCUCAGAGGAACCAACCUGGACCUGGAUCUGGAUCUGGACCUGGAUCUGGAUCCAGCUGUGUGUCAUUCAUGAGUGACAGAUCAAAGAAUUUACCUCCUCACUUCAAAGACAUGGAUUCAGGGGUAGAACAGAUCCAACAGAGAUCUGGAUCUGGAUCCAGCUGUGUGUCCAACAGGAGUGACCGAUCAAAGGGUCAUAAUCCAAACUUCAAGUCCAUCAGUCCUGCAGUGGAACAAGUGGACCAGCAGAGCUCAGAGACUCCCAGUGGUCCGUCUGUCCAGCAGC
This is a long non-coding RNA of Oryzias melastigma (Indian medaka), 335 nucleotides long. RefSeq lists it as uncharacterized. The transcript is spliced from 4 exons. The record is from RefSeq and is a predicted model, not a curated record. NCBI's taxonomy places the organism in Eukaryota, Metazoa, Chordata, Actinopteri, Beloniformes, Adrianichthyidae.